This 131-nucleotide small nuclear RNA is filed under the name Megapachylus grandis. RNAcentral's name for it is "partial U2 snRNA". It matches the Rfam family "U2 spliceosomal RNA", at positions 25 to 155 of the family's 192-position model. From Rfam's summary of the family: U2 is a small nuclear RNA (snRNA) component of the spliceosome (involved in pre-mRNA splicing). Complementary binding between U2 snRNA (in an area lying towards the 5' end but 3' to hairpin I) and the branchpoint sequence (BPS) of the intron results the bulging out of an unpaired adenosine, on the BPS, which initiates a nucleophilic attack at the intronic 5' splice site, thus starting the first of two transesterification reactions that mediate splicing. Lineage: Eukaryota; Metazoa; Arthropoda; Arachnida; Opiliones; Gonyleptidae. The record is from RNAcentral.
GAUCAAAGUGUAGUAUCUGUUCUUAUCAGCUUAAUAUCUGAUACGACCUCCAUCGGGGGUCAAGAUAUUAAACUUAUUUUUGGCAUAAGGAGGAGAGUCUGAAGCUUGCUUCACCUCCACCAGGGGUCGAC